AGGAUGGAAGAAAUUUGUUACGUCAAAUUAAUCAUGCCUUGGGUUAAAAAUUUAAUUAAUCACACCAGCCUCAGACAAUUUCAAUUCUCGUUACUUUUAUCGCAUCUUAUUAAUUUGUUUUCUGUAAUUUUAUUAUCUUCGUCAACAGAAAAAGAAAAAGAUCGAUCUGUAUCGAAAUAAAAUAAUCCUAAUCGCGUCUCGGUAUGAAAACCGUUUAUUCAUGUCGUAGUUUUAGAAUUUUGUUAUCGUUCUCGAUUUAUGUAAAACUCAAAAUUUGAACGAGUAUAGAAAAUGGUGUUUCUUUUCAAUUCGAUCGAUUUCCUAUGUGACUCGGAAUAGAAAUUUUAUUAUAGUAUCAAGUUGGUACUCUGUUGCUCUGUUAUUCCAAACCGAGGGAGUGCAACGCAAAAAAUAUUAAUUUUAUUGUAACUCUGGUGCUUGACCUCACUGCAUGACCCAAUUAUGUCUCAAAUAUUAUUUAUCGAUACAUUUUGACAUAGUGUUAUAAAUAAAUCAUUGGGAUAAAUGUUCGAGACGGUGUAGCUUGCACUUCUGAAUCUCUUUAUUUUGUUAUUCUAAAUUUCUUUCUUCCUUUUGUCGAUGAUAUCGUCGUGUUGCUCUUUUUCUUAUUUUUUUGAUUGUUUACUAGCAGAAUUGUAAUCCGAGGUUCGAAUUCCAAAUUUGUUUAAUUCCAAACAAGCCGAACAAAAAUAUAAACGGACAAUGUAAAUAUCAUCGGAAUACACAAACAACUUUAAAUGUUAAUAAAGAGCACAAUUGAUUUUCACUUAUAUCCUCUAAUUGAAAAAUAACAUUAAAGCAGAAAGCGACUGGAUCGUUCUAUUAUCGAGUUCAUUUUCGAAUUUCGACUGUAAAUGGUUUCAAUUUUGAUCGGUAGAUUUAAAAUUCCAGGGUGCAAUUUGCAGUAAUUGAAUUUGAAAAUUUUUCUUGCAGUUUCAAUUUGGAAUUUUGCGGUUUGAACACGGAAAAUGUUUAAAAGAAAUUUUUCGAUUGGAUCUUGGUGCCUGGAUAGAGUAGGGCCGAGCGAAAUUAUUUUUUUUUCGAAGCUAAACAAAAACAGGAUCGCCAUCGAUUGACUUAUUUCGCGGAAACGGGAGGAUCAGAUCGUCCAAAUACAAACGAGUAACGAUAAUAAACGAAACGAGAGAUAGAGAGAGAGAGAGAGAGAGAGAGAAACAAAAAUAAUACAGAAGAAAGACAGAAGAUAAACAGACGUUUCGAUUAGUAAUUUAACUUAAUAAUUUAUAAAAAGGACCAAAUUACGGUUUGAAAUUUUUCCAGAUGACAGAUUUAGUUUUCUUUUUUUAUUUUCUUGUAAUUUCAUGGCCACGAUUAUGAAUGAAAAAAUGACAGCUUCGUUGCAGUAUUUUAGAGAGGUUUUGACGAAUUUAGGAUUCCCGUUUAGAAAAUUCCAGAAAAUGUUUUUAAUUAUAUGAUGUAUUUUUUUAAAAAAAAACAUGUAUUUUCGACGAACUGUUUUAAAUAUAGCGAUUGAAAAUUGUUUUUGUAAUGGAACAUGGAAAGCUCGAGAAUUGUAAAUAUUUUUUCAGAACAACUGCGUUUUGUUAUCUAUCGUUAAUUUCUGCACAAGAAUGUCGAAUAUAUUUCAAAACGAGGUCGAAAAGUAAUGAAAAAUGUUGUAAGAAAUGAAAUCACAGAAGGAAUCUAUUUUUCAUCGUACAGUGUGAUUUUAAACGUGAACCUCUAAUCCUCUCUGACAGUAAUAUGCAAUUACGAAUAUUUUUCAGAUUAUACAUGUCACAUGCGUGUUUAUUUAAGAAAUGAUCUGUCCCAGUAUAAUUUACACGGUGCGCUCGCAAUUUCUCCAAAACUGUUUCAAAAGGAAAUCAUCCCGAGAAAAAAAAAGAAGUAUCCGUACGAAAGACGAAUGCUGUUUCACGGUGCAUUUAAAAUUUCUCCCAAACUGUUUCAAAAAGGAAAUCAUCGCAAGAAAAUAAAUUUCGAGUAUAUUCGAGUGUAUAUUUAAUGGAGCCCGAAGGAGUCGUUAACUAACUAUUUAUUAUUUAUCCAGAAAAAUAAUAUGCAUAUGAAAGACGAAUGCUGUUUCAUGAUUCACCAAAGAGCGCCUCACUCGUAUUUCUCUCUGUUAUUAAUAAAUUCAUUUACGAUUAACGAGCGUGCCAAUUGGAAUAUUUUGAACAGAGAAAAGAAUCGCGAAAUUGCGAAAUUGCAAUCAAAAUUCGUCUUAUUUCAAAUGUUCAGUCUAUUGCUCGUUUAUACGUUACAAGGACAACGAUGAUGAUACAAUACAAUUUCAAGUAUAUCGUAAUUAGACUGUGGAUCUUUAUGCAAAAAUAAAAUCUUGGCAAACUUAACGUUCAGUCGAAUCCUGUCUCAAAAAGAAUGUAAACAUGAUCGGAAGAACUGUUAUACGUAUGCGUGUGAACAGAAUAACGAAAUUUGAAUGUUUAAAAUAUCGAAAGAUUCUGCAAAUUUUGAAAACAUCGAAACUCAUUGUAUAAUUCGAACAUAUUCGAAAUGUGUCGCGUUGAAUAUUUCUGCGGAGUAGUUGUUUGAUUUCUCAUGGGGGAACAGAUAAUGAAACAAUUGUUCGCAAAAAUUUGGAUCUCAUAAAGAAUCAACGCGGAGUGGUGAAUUUGAUUAAGAUUUAUUGUUCGAAUUAGUAUCGGAUAUUUGUGCGAGAAAAAGAUCGGAGUGAACAUUCUUAAUUUUGAACCAUAGUCAGAUGUGUAAUUUCAUUUGUUGUGGGGAGGAGAGGGACAAUUUAGAAUAAAAAAAAUUGGAAUACACGAGGAAGGAUUUCAACUUGUUUGCAUUCUAUUUUCUUGUGAAAAAGAGAAAUGGAGUUAAAGAUUCCAAAUUUUGAACCAUAGUCAGAUGUGUAAUUCCAUUUGUUGUGGAGAGGAGAGGGACAAUUUAGAAUAAAAAAAAUUAGAAUACACGAGGAAGGAUUUCAACUUGUUUGCAUUCUAUUUUCUUGUGAAAAAGAGAAAUGCAGAUAAAGAUUCUAAAUUUUGAACCAUAGUCAGUUGUGUAAUUUCAUUUGUUGUGGAAGAGGAGAGGGACAAUUUAGAAUAAAAAAAAUUGGAAUACACGAGGAAGGAUUUCAACUUGUUUGCAUUCUAUUUUCUUGUGAAAAAGUGGAAUCGAAUUAAAGAUUGUUAAUUUUGAACCAUAGUCAGAUGUGUAAUUUCAUUUGUUGUG
Long non-coding RNA from Hylaeus volcanicus, 3207 nucleotides. RefSeq lists it as uncharacterized. The transcript has 3 exons. The record is from RefSeq and is a predicted model, not a curated record. Lineage: Eukaryota; Metazoa; Arthropoda; Insecta; Hymenoptera; Colletidae.